UUUAAACUUGCACAGCAAGGUGAUGCCCUGCAGGUGUAUCGCCCCCAGACUUAUCGGCCCACCAUCUAUUGUUUUUGGAAGCCCCCCGGUCCUAUAUGAAGCGUUACUCAAAGAGUGAGACCCUCGCCAUUUCGCGUCAGGACCAGCGCCGGUGCAGACCAUUUUCUACCCACACAGAGCGUUUCUGACUGGCUGGCGUUGCUUAAGGGAAAAGCAACAAUACAACGCGGUUCUCUGCUCCAAGACAUCCGCGGUCCUUUCACACGGUAAGCAUGUGUGUUAUAGCCGGCGCUUCAUAAAUGUCUGUCUGUCAGCGCAGAUUAUUCAAACUGUUUUUAAAAUGUGACUAAUUUGUUGUCCAAAAAAAAUUUCCUCUAAAUUUUCAAAGUUACUGAUUUAAAAAUAUAUAUUUUCGAAUUUUUAGCUGGAUGUCAAACAUAUGAUAGAGUCUUGAGCAUAUUUAUAUAGCAAAAUUCACAGUGGUAUAACCAUAAAAGAUGCCCAACUGGACACCAAUGCACUCUAAUGCAAGCCUUUAAACUGUAUGCUGAUAAGUGCAUAAGUAUACCUCAAUAGCUGAAAAGAGUCUGUAUCCAUAAUUUGCGGAUCUGCGGAUUUGUUUUUAAUGUGGCACUUUUUUCACGAACUGCAGAUGAUGAAAUCCUCUUUAUUUGAGAAAGUGUCCCUAAGCUAUUGCUGCUCAUACUUACUGAGUUCCCUAGCUACGUCUUUACUGUGUCAGUAAACUUUUUGAACAAGAAAGGUAUCGUAGCUUUAAAGACCUUAAUUGAAGCAAAGGCAAAAAAUUGGAAUAAAUUUUAUGUGGCUGUUCAUAUUAAAUCCAUCAAAGAGUGAAAAACCAAAAAGCUGGAAUGCAUUUCCAAAGAAGUGUAGCUCAUACACUGCAAUAAAUGUAUUCUGCUACAUCUGCUAAUGAGAGAACGUGUUUUUUCAUCAUAAAGACUGUGAUAAGAAGCAUCGUUAAAGUGUCACUUCAGUAAUGCUGCUGAGAGAAACAAGUGUUGAUUCUUUUUUUUUUUAAUAGAUGACUUAAAAGACUAAACUCUAAUUUCAAAGGUUUAUUUUAAGUUUAAAGAAUAUAACAGCUGGUAAGACAAUGGGUUUUGCUUCUCGCUGUCCGUGUUAUGUUGUAGUAUCCAUUAUCAUGUAUGCUACUUUGCUCUGUGGACUGUAAAAUGUUUCACUGUAUUCAUGAAAUAAACCAGACUUUCC
Molecule: long non-coding RNA, 1233 nt
Organism: Astatotilapia calliptera (eastern happy)
Lineage: Eukaryota; Metazoa; Chordata; Actinopteri; Cichliformes; Cichlidae
Source: Ensembl